Molecule: ribosomal RNA, 488 nt
Filed under: uncultured bacterium
Lineage: Bacteria
Description: bacterial SSU rRNA
Rfam family: Bacterial small subunit ribosomal RNA
Source: RNAcentral
GAUGAACGCUAGCUACAGGCUUAACACAUGCAAGUCGAGGGGCAGCAGGAACAAAGCUUGCUUUGUUUGCUGGCGACCGGCGCACGGGUGAGUAACGCGUAUCCGACCUGGCCUGCGCGCGGGGAUAGCCCUUGGAAAUGAGGAUUAACACCCGAUACGCCUUUUGCCCGCAUGGGCAUUUGGUGAAUCUUGCGCAGGAUGGGGAUGCGUUGGAUUAGCUUGCUGGUGAGGUAACGGCUCACCAGGGCUCCGAUCCAUAGGGGUUCUGAGAGGAAGGUCCCCCCACACUGGAACUGAGACACGGUCCAGACUCCUACGGGAGGCAGCAGUGAGGAAUAUUGGUCAAUGGUCUGACGACUGAACCAGCCAUGCCGCGUGAAGGUGACGGCCCUAUGGGUCUUAAACGUUCUUUUGUAAGGGAGCAAUAAGGUGUACGUGUACAUCGAUGAGAGUACCUUACGAAUAAGCAUCGGCUAACUCCGUGCCAG